RNAcentral lists this ribosomal RNA (463 nucleotides) under uncultured bacterium. RNAcentral's name for it is "bacterial SSU rRNA". It matches the Rfam family "Bacterial small subunit ribosomal RNA", at positions 28 to 475 of the family's 1533-position model. The record is from RNAcentral.
GACGAACGCNGGCGGCGUGCCUAAUACAUGCAAGUAGAACGCUGAAGGAGGAGCUUGCUCUUCUGGAUGAGUUGCGAACGGGUGAGUAACGCGUAGGUAACCUGCCUGGUAGCGGGGGAUAACUAUUGGAAACGAUAACUAAUACCGCAUAACAUUGACUAUUGCAUGAUAGUCAAUUGAAAGGUGCAAAUGCACCACUACCAGAUGGACCUGCGUUGUAUUAGCUAGUUGGUGGGGUAACGGCUCACCAAGGCGACGAUACAUAGCCGACCUGAGAGGGUGAUCGGCCACACUGGGACUGAGACACGGCCCAGACUCCUACGGGAGGCAGCAGUAGGGAAUCUUCGGCAAUGGACGAAAGUCUGACCGAGCAACGCCGCGUGAGUGAAGAAGGUUUUCGGAUCGUAAAGCUCUGUUGUAAGGGAAGAACGAGUGUGAGAGNGGAAAGUUCACACNGNGACGG